This is a long non-coding RNA of Brassica napus (rape), 667 nucleotides long. RefSeq lists it as uncharacterized. Lineage: Eukaryota; Viridiplantae; Streptophyta; Magnoliopsida; Brassicales; Brassicaceae. The transcript is spliced from 2 exons. The record is from RefSeq and is a predicted model, not a curated record.
GGUCAGGAAUAACAACUGGAGCUCCUUUCUUCUUCCUUUUAGGUUUGGGAAGUGGAGCUGGAGGCGCUGGCGGUAUCAAUGUCGCGCCACUUCCGUAUAACGGAAUCCUCUCUCCAAUCACAUGUACCAAUACCGUUCUUUGGCUCUUCCUCGACUGAUAAAACUUCUUAAUCUGCAAAUAUCACAAAGCCAAAAGAAAAAGAAAAACAUCAGAACCUAAUAUGGCCGCGCAAACAAUUAUUGUCCCGAACAGAUCUAAAACUGAACUAAAAACACUUGCAAGUCCUAAAAAUUCUCAAUCCGACGAGAACAUCCGAACCCGACCCAAAAAAAAUCUAAUACUGGCAUUGAUUAGGACUUACAGAUCCGGAGCCUAUUUUCAUCUGAGAGAAACUGAGAUCGACUGGAGUUGAAGUUACAUGCACACCAAAGAAAGUUCCUGUGUUUCGAUACAACAUCCUCAGAGUCGCGUUCAUAGUGAUCAUGUCCGUUCCUACACCACCAGCAUCUUGACCAGCUUGGAUCUUGAGCGUCUCGAAUGUUAUACUCUGCAAAGUUCAGAUCUGAGAAUACGAAUUCUUGAAUCAGAUUUUAAAUCUAAGAGUUGAGAUGGGAACACUAACCUUGACAGUUAUCUUUGGUUUCUGAGGUUUAGCAGCUCCGUAAA